AGAGAAAGGGCUAUAUCUCCCCUUAAACAGUCCUUAGAAAUGCAAAGGAAAACAUACAUCACAGCUGGCGUCUGCAGCCAGAACCAACACGAUCCAUCCGUCUGGGACUCCACUUCACGGGAUUGGCUGGACCACCGCCCAGGGUCAAAGCAUCCCUCACUUCUCUCUUCUUCUCUCUUCUGCUUCGCCUCGGAGAGAGUGGUUCUCUAACAAAGACCUCAGCGGCCGCCGGCCAACUCUGACCCUUCCCCAUCAUGGCACUCCAUUGGCUCUCCGCUGUGCUGCUGAAAGAACCCUCCGCGUCCAGACACUGACAUUUGAUUCUGCAGGAAUUACUGAGUUGAUUGGAUGCUGUGUCCCUUGGUGAGGCGAUAGCCGACGCCCACUCUGCACCCGUCAAUCUCCAGUGACGUCCCUUUGUCACACGCUCCGCCAGCCACCGCCCACCCGAGCCACACAGCCAAUGAAAAUACAGCUUAGGUGAGAUGACAG
This 492-nucleotide long non-coding RNA is filed under the name Salmo salar (Atlantic salmon). RNAcentral describes it as "lncRNA (ENSSSAG00000103335.1)". Lineage: Eukaryota; Metazoa; Chordata; Actinopteri; Salmoniformes; Salmonidae. The record is from RNAcentral.